CAGAGUUGAUCCUGGCUCAGGAUGAACGCUAGCUACAGGCUUAACACAUGCAAGUCGAGGGGAAACGACAUCGAAAGCUUGCUUUGAUGGGCGUCGACCGGCGCACGGGUGAGUAACGCGUAUCCAACCUGCCCAUCACUUGGGGAUAACCUUGCGAAAGUAAGACUAAUACCCAAUGAUAUCUCUAGAAGACAUCUGAAAGAGAUUAAAGAUUUAUCGGUGAUGGAUGGGGAUGCGUCUGAUUAGCUUGUUGGCGGGGUAACGGCCCACAAGGCUACGAUCAGUAGGGGUUCUGAGAGGAAGGUCCCCCACAUUGGAACUGAGACACGGUCCAAACUCCUACGGGGAUGCA
This 352-nucleotide ribosomal RNA is filed under the name uncultured bacterium. Its description in RNAcentral is "bacterial SSU rRNA". It matches the Rfam family "Bacterial small subunit ribosomal RNA", at positions 8 to 353 of the family's 1533-position model. The record is from RNAcentral.